Molecule: non-coding RNA, 1446 nt
Organism: Pelobates cultripes (western spadefoot toad)
Lineage: Eukaryota; Metazoa; Chordata; Amphibia; Anura; Pelobatidae
Source: the annotation of a GenBank genome assembly
UUUAUUUAUUUUUCCUCUUUUCCUCUCUUUUCCCCUUUCUCUCCUCUCUCACCUUUUAUAUAUAUAUAUAUAUAUAUAUAUAUAUAUGUAAUGUAUUCCUUUUGUUUAAUACUAAAUAGUGAAUUGCAAUCAUAAAAAACACACUAAAUCCACUUCAACAUUUAAUCCCCCUGGUUCCAAUGUCUGUAAUUUAUGGAUCCAGUAGGUCUCACGUUGUGAUAGUUUUUUAACUCUAUCACCCCCUCUCCAAUCUGUUGUUACUCUCUCAAUACCAAUGCACUUAAAUUUUUUAAAAGAAAAUAGUGAACAAUGAUUGCAGUGAACUGGGAUAGAGUGGGUAGCCAAGUUCUUUUUGAUAUUAUUAAUAUGUUCCAUAAACCGAACUUUUAAAAGUCUCUUUGUUCUGCCAACAUAUUGUUUGCCGCACGGACACUGCAGUAAAUAAACUACAUAAUCCGUGCGGCAAUGUAUCUCGGUCUUAAUAUGGAAAACCUCCCCUGUUAUAAAACUAGAGAAUAUAUCCGUGCGUUCUAAAUUAACAGUGUGACAAGCUUUGCAAGAAUUACAGCCCCUAAAAGAACUAUUACCAAUUGACUUAUGACUAUCCUCAUGAUGUUUUAAGGCAUAACUUGGUGCCAAAAUAUUCUUAAAGUUUUGUUUUUUUCUAAAAAUAAGUUUAGGCCGAUCAGGUAAAACAGAAUUCAAUACAGGAUCCUGUUGGAGAAUCGACCAAUGUUUUUGUAAACUUCUCCUAAUUUUAACAUGAUUGGUACAGUAUUGAGUUCUAAAAGUAAUUGUAUUAUCCUGAUAAGGUUUAACACAAGGUUUGUCCAUAAGGUAGUUACCCCUGUCGGAUUGUAAAGCCAUACGGAUUUCCCUAUCCAAUGUAUUCUUUUUAUAACCUCUUUCAACCAAUUUGUCCCUGAUGUGGCCAGAUUGCGUUAUAAAGUCAUUGACUUGAGAGCAAUUCCUUCUCACCCUAGCAAAUUGGCCCUUGGCUAUUCCUCUAAGCCAGGGGCGGUGAUGGCAGCUCUGCUGAUGAACAUAUCCAUUGCCAUCACUGGGUUUGAAGAAACACUUCGUUUUUAUGGAGUCAUUAUCACAUAUUAAGGACAAAUCUAAAAAACUAAUUUCAUUCUGAUGCCAUACAGAAGUGAAUUUUAAAUUAUAUUUAUUCUGAUUUAAAUAGUUUUCAAAACAUUGAAAAGCAGAAAAAGACCCCUUCCAAAUAAUAAUAACGUCAUCGAUAUAUCUCCGCCAGAGCACCAGGUUCUCCCUCCAGUCAUGACCAGCCCAAACUGUAAGAUCCUCCCAUCUCCGCAUAUAGGUAUUGGCAUAACUGGGGGCGAACCUGGUGCCCAUGGCGGUUCCCGUGAUUUGUAAAUAAAAUUUAUCAUUAAAGAAAAAAUAAUUGUGUUCUAAAAUAAAUUUAACUGAAUGUAAGAU